Molecule: ribosomal RNA, 653 nt
Filed under: Capronia moravica
Lineage: Eukaryota; Fungi; Ascomycota; Eurotiomycetes; Chaetothyriales; Herpotrichiellaceae
Description: SSU rRNA
Rfam family: Bacterial small subunit ribosomal RNA
Source: RNAcentral
AGAGUAUGACAAUUUUUUAUCUAUAAGUCUUGACCAAAUUACGUGCCAGCAGUCGCGGUAAUACGUAGAAGACUAGUGUUAUUCAUCUUUAAUCGGUAUAAAGGGUACCUAGACAGAAUACCAAGCCAUAAUAGGAACUAGUAUUCUAGAGUUUUAUGUGGGAAUAUGCGAAUUACCAGAGGAGAGUCAAAAUUCUGUGAUACUGGUAGGACGGGUAACGGCAAAGGCAAUAUUCUAAGUAAAAACUGACGUUGAGGGACGAAGCCUUGGGCAGCGAUAAGGAUUAGAUACCCUAGUAGUCCUUGGAGACAAUUAUGAGUGCCAUAGGCUAGAUUAAUUUAGUCUAUAAAUGAAAGUGUAAGCACUCCACCUCAUGACUAAGGCGGAAAUGCACAAAUUGAAAUCAUUAGACCGUUUCUGAAACCAGUAGUGAAGUAUGUUAUUUAAUUCGAUGAUCCGCGAAAAACCUUACCACGUUUUGAAUAUUAUUAAGAAUAUUACAAGUGCUGCACGGCUGUCUUCAGUUAAUGUCGUGAGAUUUUGGUUAAUUCCUUUAAUUAACGAAAGCCCUUACUUUAUUUGUUUUUAAAGUAUUUUUCUACAAAGGGAAAUAAUAAAAGGGACCAAGACAAGUCAUCAUGGCCAAAAUAGCG